RNAcentral lists this microRNA precursor (69 nucleotides) under Medicago truncatula (barrel medic). RNAcentral's name for it is "MIR2629 microRNA precursor family". It matches the Rfam family "MIR2629 microRNA precursor family". Lineage: Eukaryota; Viridiplantae; Streptophyta; Magnoliopsida; Fabales; Fabaceae. The record is from Rfam by way of RNAcentral.
UGUCGAAGUUUUCCUCGGUAGUUAACUGCAGUCGGUUCCAUAGUUCGACAGUUAACUACCGAGGGGCAU